This 319-nucleotide ribosomal RNA is filed under the name uncultured bacterium. RNAcentral describes it as "bacterial SSU rRNA". It matches the Rfam family "Bacterial small subunit ribosomal RNA", at positions 28 to 311 of the family's 1533-position model. The record is from RNAcentral.
GAUGAACGCUGGCGGCAUGCCUAAGACAUGCAAGUCGAACGAGAUGGCCCUUGGAAGCGGAGUGCUUGCACAAAGUGGAAAAGGAUCACCAUCUAGUGGCAGACGGGUGAGUAACACGUGGGUGACCUACCUUUAUGAUGGGGAUAACAGUUGGAAACGACUGCUAAUACCGAAUAAGAUAUAACUGUCGAGGUUAUAUUGAAAGGAGCCUUUAAAAGCUUCGCAUAGAGAUGGGCCUGCGGCGUAUUAACUAGUUGGUGGGGUAAAAGGCCUACCAAGGUAACGAUGCGUAGCCGAAACUGAGAGGUUGAUCGGCCAC